UGCAAGUCGAGCGGAUGAGAAGAGCUUGCUCUUCGAUUCAGCGGCGGACGGGUGAGUAAUACCUAGGAAUCUGCCUGGUAGUGGGGGACAACGUUUCGAAAGGAACGCUAAUACCGCAUACGCCCUACGGGGGAAAGCAGGGGACCUUCGGGCCUUGCGCUAUCAGAUGAGCCUAGGUCGGAUUAGCUAGUUGGUGAGGUAAUGGCUCACCAAGGCGACGAUCCGUAACUGGUCUGAGAGGAUGAUCAGUCACACUGGAACUGAGACACGGUCCAGACUCCUACGGGAGGCAGCAGUGGGGAAUAUUGGACAAUGGGCGAAAGCCUGAUCCAGCCAUGCCGCGUGUGUGAAGAAGGUCUUCGGAUUGUAAAGCACUUUAAGUUGGGAGGAAGGGCAUUAACCUAAUACGUUAGUGUUUUGACGUUACCGACAGAAUAAGCACCGGCUAACUCUGUGCCAGCAGCCGCGGUAAUACAGAGGGUGCAAGCGUUAAUCGGAAUUACUGGGCGUAAAGCGCGCGUAGGUGGUUCGUUAAGUUGGAUGUGAAAUCCCCGGGCUCAACCUGGGAACUGCAUCCAAAACUGGCGAGCUAGAGUAGGGCAGAGGGUGGUGGAAUUUCCUGUGUAGCGGUGAAAUGCGUAGAUAUAGGAAGGAACACCAGUGGCGAAGGCGACCUGGGCUCAUACUGACACUGAGGUGCGAAAGCGUGGGGAGCAAACAGGAUUAGAUACCCUGGUAGUCCACGCCGUAAACGAUGUCAACUAGCCGUUGGAAUCCUUGAGAUUUUAGUGGCGCAGCUAACGCAUUAAGUUGACCGCCUGGGGAGUACGGCCGCAAGGUU
RNAcentral lists this ribosomal RNA (841 nucleotides) under Pseudomonas putida. Its description in RNAcentral is "bacterial SSU rRNA". It matches the Rfam family "Bacterial small subunit ribosomal RNA", at positions 56 to 895 of the family's 1533-position model. Lineage: Bacteria; Pseudomonadati; Pseudomonadota; Gammaproteobacteria; Pseudomonadales; Pseudomonadaceae. The record is from RNAcentral.